Long non-coding RNA from Rhincodon typus (whale shark), 541 nucleotides. RefSeq lists it as uncharacterized. The record is from RefSeq and is a predicted model, not a curated record. The transcript has 4 exons. Lineage: Eukaryota; Metazoa; Chordata; Chondrichthyes; Orectolobiformes; Rhincodontidae.
ACCAGUUCAUGACAUACUGGCAGUGGCAUUUUACUCAGGAAACCAUAUCAUGGUGGCACGUCAGGAGACAGCAGAAGUCUUUUUAGCAAGAAGAUGAACUUCUCUUGCAAAAACAUCAGCAGUCCUGUGAGGAAAGGGCCUAAAUUUAACGAAUCCAGAAUUUCUGUUUCCAUAUAAGUACCGCAAUGUCCAAGUAGUUGGUUGAGGGUGAGAGUGCGAAGGCUCUUUGCUGGUGCCGGUUCAUAAAGAGUUUGCUGUACAUUGUGUCUGUUCUAAUCGUAGAAUUAUACAGUACAGAAGAGGCCCUUUGGUCCAUCAGGUUUUAACAAGCUUUUUUUGUGCUCGUUGCCAAGGAAACUCAGCAAUUCAUUAUCUCAGCUCCAGUGGGUCUAACAAGUCAUCAGCGCCUAUCAGGCGAGUGAACACUGCAUUAGUUAUACUGUUGGGAAGAGACUGGUUGGUUUUGUUGACAAUUUAACUGGCGGUUCUCUGAAUGAAAUAGGAGUUAGAGAUGCGAUCCUUUCACUUUCUGUGACUGCAA